GCGUGAGUGAUGAAGGCCUUAGGGUUGUAAAGCUCUUUUACCAGGGAUGAUAAUGACAGUACCUGGAGAAUAAGCUCCGGCUAACUCCGUGCCAGCAGCCGCGGUAAUACGGAGGGAGCUAGCGUUGUUCGGAAUCACUGGGCGUAAAGCGUGCGUAGGCGGUGACUCAAGUCAGAGGUGAAAGCCUGGAGCUCAACUCCAGAACUGCCUUUGAAACUAGGUCGCUAGAACAUCGGAGAGGUGAGUGGAAUUCCGAGUGUAGAGGUGAAAUUCGU
This 275-nucleotide ribosomal RNA is filed under the name uncultured bacterium. RNAcentral describes it as "partial 16S ribosomal RNA". It matches the Rfam family "Bacterial small subunit ribosomal RNA", at positions 399 to 691 of the family's 1533-position model. The record is from RNAcentral.